CUUUUAAGUAAAUAUAUUAGGUGAAAGAGGAUCAGAUGACAAAAAAAGUUUGUAAAUUUGUGCAUUUUAAUGUGUUUAAAAGACUAAAGUCAUCCAAAGACAUAGAAAUACAUGGUUAAACAACCUACAGAGGAAUGAUUCAAAUAAAAAUCAAUGUGUUGAUGCUGAUCCUAUGUUCUUAAACAUGAAAUUAUUUUUGUAAAUCCAGUGGUUAAACGCUGCCACCUGACUAAUGACGGAUCUCUGUGUGAAUGUCCAGAAAACCUGAAGACUUUCUGAAUGUAUAUAAGCAGCCUGCUAUUUUAGAAAGGAAAAUUUAAAAGAUUAAAAAGAGGAAUUAGGAAAUUAAAUUCGGAAUAAUCUAUUGCUAUUUUGUAAAUAAUAUUUAAUCAUGUAAUCCAUAAAAAAGUAACUGUAGUCUGAUUAUGAGUUUUAUAAAAUUUUAUUUAAUCUAAUUACAAGUUCUUUAUUUACUAGAAUCUGUUUACGCAAUCCAGAUUACAUAUAGUCAGUUACUACUGAGCUCAGAACAGGGAUUAGUUUAAGUCAGGACUAUAGGUCCUAGUUUUGCUUUUAUAAAAAUGCUGCAUGUGUGCAUCUUGAGAUGAAACAAUGGCACUGACAUAUUGUAAGGAAUGUCAUUUCAAGUUAUUUUCAGUUAAGACAGCUCACACAUGCGUUUUAGUCUGGGACUAGCCUUAAACCUCGUCUGUGAAACCGGGUAUAUAAUAGACAUUAUUUACUUCACUACAACUGUUAAACCUUCAAAUGUCAAUGAUUUUUACCAUCUUUUGCAUCAUUUCUUUUUCUGAUAAUUGUCUUUCCAGUUUGUCUAGUUCCUCCAUGGUUGUGAGAGGAAAGACAUCAUCCUCGCUGUCCACCAGCAGCACUGGAGCACUGGAACGACUGUUAGCUGCAAGAGACUGGACCACUGAAGACAGAUGAUUGAUCUUCAGGUCCAGUUCGUUAAGUGCCUCCAGAAUUGUCCUCUCAACAGCUGCAACACAUUAGAUGGGUGUUCACCCCAAGCAUCCUCUUGCUCAUUUUCAUUGGACAAGCUCACAGGAACAGCUGGAGUUAAGAAAGGUGAAGUUGGUGAGUGUUCACCCCAAGCAUCUUGUGGCUCAUCUGCCUGGGAGAAGCUCAUGGGAACAUCUGAAGCUGAGAAUGAUGGAACUG
Long non-coding RNA from Cyprinus carpio carpio, 1179 nucleotides. The record is from Ensembl. NCBI's taxonomy places the organism in Eukaryota, Metazoa, Chordata, Actinopteri, Cypriniformes, Cyprinidae.